CCGCCCCCAGGAAGUGAAACAAACGCGGGAGAAGUGACAUGUGUGCAGCCUGUUAUCACAACAAGACUCCGUCCAUACAUACGUAGCGUUUUAAUGUAUAAUUUUAAACACAUUGACAUUUGUGUCACGUCCAUAACUUUGUGUUAUUAGUUUAGGCUUCUAAAUGAGUGUAGUUAUGCAGUGAUCAUAUAGUUACUCUGAUUGAGAUCUGCGAUGCAGAGGGGGUAAAGUGUGGUUUUAGAGAAUACCGAAGUCAUGAAAUCUAGCCAUAAAAAGAAAACAAAGGCUACCAUUAAAGAAGAGGAAACAUCACUAUCAGAACCCUCCUCGUGUCACUUUUUCAAUGAUCUACCUGAAAUUUCGGCCUACCGAUCUCACCUUCUGCAAUGGUAUGACCAAAACAAAAGAGAGCUUCCUUGGAGGACAGUGGCCAUGACAGAACCAGAUGUUAAUAUCAGAACAUAUGCUGUGUGGGUCUCAGAAAUCAUGUUACAACAGACUCAAGUUGCCACUGUGAUAGACUACUAUGACAAGUGGAUGAAGAGAUGGCCGACUGUGGAAAACCUUGCUGCAGCUACAUUAGAGGAGGUAAACCAAAUGUGGGCAGGUCUUGGAUACUACUCUCGGGGACGCAGGUUACAUGAAGGAGCUAAGAAGGUGGUAUCAGACCUCAACGGACAGAUGCCAAGGUGCACAGAGGGACUUUUGAAACUGCUUCCAGGGGUGGGACGUUACACCGCAGGGGCAAUUGGCUCUAUAGCUCUUGGACAGGUCACUGGUGCAGUUGAUGGAAAUGUCAUCCGUGUGCUGUGCCGUGUUCGGGCCAUAGGAGCAGACAGCACUGGUCCUGUAGUUACGGAGGCUUUGUGGAAGAUUGCAAAUACAAUUGUGGACACUGAGAGACCUGGUGAUUUCAAUCAGGCGAUGAUGGAGUUAGGGGCCAGAGUUUGCACCCCAAAAUCCCCUCUUUGCAGCCAGUGUCCCAUUCAGACCCAUUGCCAUGCAUUUAGGAAGCAGCUGCUGGCAGUUGUAACUUGUGUCUGUCAGAGGACUGGGACGCCCAACAAGGGGUGCAGAAUUAUCCAAGAAAGCCUGUCAAAAAGGCUGCACGUGUGGAGAAAACUCUUACCUGUAUAGUACAACGUCAGAGAGGACAGGAGACAGAAUAUCUGCUAACUCAAAGGCCAAGCAAAGGACUCUUGGCAGGUAUGUGGGAGCUACCCAGCGUGGUCCUGGAGUCUGACCUCUCCGGGAAUAAACAUGGAGACUUAUUAUGUACCAUGAUGCAAAUAUUUCUGGAAACAUCAC
Molecule: RNA transcript, 1308 nt
Organism: Triplophysa rosa
Lineage: Eukaryota; Metazoa; Chordata; Actinopteri; Cypriniformes; Nemacheilidae
Gene: mutyh
Gene name: mutY DNA glycosylase
Exons: 11
Source: RefSeq, a predicted model, not a curated record